CGGCCCUUAUCACGUUCAAUCACCGGUUCUCGUAAGAUAACCGAAGUUAAGCAACGUCGAGUCUGGUCAGUAGCUAGAUGGGUGACCUUCUGGGAAUACUAUUAGCUGUAA
Non-coding RNA from Acanthosepion pharaonis, 111 nucleotides. Lineage: Eukaryota; Metazoa; Mollusca; Cephalopoda; Sepiida; Sepiidae. The record is from the annotation of a GenBank genome assembly.